Molecule: transfer RNA, 84 nt
Filed under: Bacteroidota bacterium
Lineage: Bacteria; Pseudomonadati; Bacteroidota
Also listed under: 2 other names
Description: Bacteroidetes bacterium tRNA-Leu
Rfam family: tRNA
About the family: Transfer RNA (tRNA) molecules are approximately 80 nucleotides in length. Their secondary structure includes four short double-helical elements and three loops (D, anti-codon, and T loops). Further hydrogen bonds mediate the characteristic L-shaped molecular structure. tRNAs have two regions of fundamental functional importance: the anti-codon, which is responsible for specific mRNA codon recognition, and the 3' end, to which the tRNAs corresponding amino acid is attached (by aminoacyl-tRNA synthetases). tRNAs cope with the degeneracy of the genetic code in two manners: having more than one tRNA (with a specific anti-codon) for a particular amino acid; and 'wobble' base-pairing, i.e. permitting non-standard base-pairing at the 3rd anti-codon position.
Source: RNAcentral
GCCCGGGUGGUGAAACUGGUAGACACACCAUCUUGAGGGGGUGGCGCCUGUAAGGGUGUACGAGUUCGAAUCUCGUCCCGGGCA